This 497-nucleotide ribosomal RNA is filed under the name uncultured bacterium. RNAcentral describes it as "partial 16S ribosomal RNA". It matches the Rfam family "Bacterial small subunit ribosomal RNA", at positions 28 to 507 of the family's 1533-position model. The record is from RNAcentral.
GAUGAACGCUGGCGGCGUGCCUAAUACAUGCAAGUCGAGCGAACGGACGAGAAGCUUGCUUCUCUGAUGUUAGCGGCAGACGGGUGAGUAACACGUGGAUAACCUACCUAUAAGACUGGGAUAACUUCGGGAAACCGUAGCUAAUACCGGAUAAUAUUUUGAACCGCAUGGUUCAAAAGUGAAAGACGGUCUUGCUGUCACUUAUAGAUGGAUCCGCGCUGCAUUAGCUAGUUGGUAAGGUAACGGCUUACCAAGGCAACGAUGCAUAGCCGACCUGAGAGGGUGAUCGGCCACACUGGAACUGGGACACGGCCCAGACUCCUACGGGAGGCAGCAGUAGGGAAUCUUCCGCAAUGGGCGAAAGCCUGACGGAGCAACGCCGCGUGAGUGAUGAAGGUCUUCGGAUCGUAAAACUCUGUUAUUAGGGAAGAACAUAUGUGUAAGUAACUGUGCACAUCUUGACGGUACCUAAUCAGAAAGCCACGGCUAACUACGUG